UACAGAGGUGGCAAGCGUUGUUCGGAAUUACUGGGCGUAAAGGGCGCGUAGGCGGUCUUCUAAGUCUUGUGUGAAAUCCCUCGGCUUAACUGAGGAACUGCACGGGAUACUGGAUGGCUUGAGUUCGGGAGAGGGAAGCGGAAUUCCGGGUGUAGCGGUGAAAUGCGUAGAUAUCCGGAGGAACACCGAUGGCGAAGGCAAUCCCCUGGGCCUGCACUGACGCUCAUGCACGAAAGCGUGGGGAGCAAACAGG
RNAcentral lists this ribosomal RNA (253 nucleotides) under uncultured bacterium. Its description in RNAcentral is "partial 16S ribosomal RNA". It matches the Rfam family "Bacterial small subunit ribosomal RNA", at positions 524 to 776 of the family's 1533-position model. The record is from RNAcentral.